UAGGGAAUCUUCGGCAAUGGACGAAAGUCUGACCGAGCAACGCCGCGUGAGUGAAGAAGGUUUUCGGAUCGUAAAACUCUGUUGUUAGAGAAGAACAAGGACGUUAGUAACUGAACGUCCCCUGACGGUAUCUAACCAGAAAGCCACGGCUAACUACGUGCCAGCAGCCGCGGUAAUACGUAGUUGGCAAGCGUUGUCCGGAUUUAUUGGGCGUAAAGCGUGCGCAGGCGGUUUCUUAAGUCUGAUGUGAAAGCCCCCGGCUCAACCGGGGAGGGUCAUUGGAAACUGGGAGACUUGAGUGCAGAAGAGGAGAGUGGAAUUCCACGUGUAGCGGUGAAAUGAGUAGAUAUAUGGAGGAACACCAGUGGCGAAGGCGGCUCUCUGGUCUGUAACUGACGCUGAGGCUCGAAAGCGUGGGGAGCAAACAGG
This 429-nucleotide ribosomal RNA is filed under the name Gemmatimonadota bacterium. RNAcentral describes it as "Gemmatimonadetes bacterium partial 16S ribosomal RNA". It matches the Rfam family "Bacterial small subunit ribosomal RNA", at positions 355 to 776 of the family's 1533-position model. The record is from RNAcentral. Lineage: Bacteria; Pseudomonadati; Gemmatimonadota.